AAGCGUGCGCAGGCGGUUAUGUAAGACAGAUGUGAAAUCCCCGGGCUCAACCUGGGAACUGCAUUUGUGACUGCAUGGCUAGAGUACGGUAGAGGGGGAUGGAAUUCCGCGUGUAGCAGUGAAAUGCGUAGAUAUGCGGAGGAACACCGAUGGCGAAGGCAAUCCCCUGGACCUGUACUGACGCUCAUGCACGAAAGCGUGGGGAGCAAACAGGAUUAGAUACCCCUUGU
This 230-nucleotide ribosomal RNA is filed under the name uncultured bacterium. RNAcentral describes it as "partial 16S ribosomal RNA". It matches the Rfam family "Bacterial small subunit ribosomal RNA", at positions 563 to 791 of the family's 1533-position model. The record is from RNAcentral.